RNAcentral lists this ribosomal RNA (372 nucleotides) under uncultured organism. RNAcentral's name for it is "bacterial SSU rRNA". It matches the Rfam family "Bacterial small subunit ribosomal RNA", at positions 526 to 896 of the family's 1533-position model. The record is from RNAcentral.
CGUAGGGUGCGAGCGUUGUCCGGAAUUAUUGGGCGUAAAGAGCUCGUAGGCGGUUUGUCGCGUCGGCCGUGAAAACUUGGGGCUUAACCCCGAGCCUGCGGUCGAUACGGGCAGACUUGAGUUCGGCAGGGGAGACUGGAAUUCCUGGUGUAGCGGUGAAAUGCGCAGAUAUCAGGAGGAACACCGGUGGCGAAGGCGGGUCUCUGGGCCGAUACUGACGCUGAGGAGCGAAAGCGUGGGGAGCGAACAGGAUUAGAUACCCUGGUAGUCCACGCCGUAAACGGUGGGUGCUAGGUGUGGGGGACUUCCACGUUCUCCGUGCCGCAGCUAACGCAUUAAGCACCCCGCCUGGGGAGUACGGCCGCAAGGCUA